GUGAAGCUCAUAUUGUUAUUUUAGUUGUUUAAAAAAAUGUAUGGAGAUAGAUCAUUUCAACUUCAGAGUCAAAAAUAGCAAAACUCGCGUAUUAAGUGUUUACUAAGACACUUAAUAUUAUAUACCUAAUAUUUAUUAUGCUACACUCGAAUUCAUUAAAAAACAAGGCAGAAAUCUCCUGCUUUAAUAUAAUACAAUUAUAUAACUGACCUCUUAAUCUGUAGCAUAGAAAUACUUUGAAGUUUUAAAGUCUCAUUAUUAGGGAUUUGUAGCCUCAGGUUUCUGGAAAGGAAGACAUUCUGUUUUAAAAAGUAAUAAUUAUCAGUCACCUAGGAGGUAAAGAAAAACCACAACAUAGACCUGAAAAGCAUAAGCAGAAUUGUUGCAAUCUUAAUAUGAACAAUAAACUUGCC
This 413-nucleotide long non-coding RNA is filed under the name Bos taurus (domestic cattle). Its description in RNAcentral is "long non-coding RNA NONBTAT006759". The record is from RNAcentral. Lineage: Eukaryota; Metazoa; Chordata; Mammalia; Artiodactyla; Bovidae.